RNAcentral lists this long non-coding RNA (2199 nucleotides) under Homo sapiens (human). Its description in RNAcentral is "KANSL1L antisense RNA 1". Lineage: Eukaryota; Metazoa; Chordata; Mammalia; Primates; Hominidae. The record is from RNAcentral.
AUUGGCCAUUGUCUCCUAGGUUUCUUAUAGUCUAGAAUAAAUCAUUUUUCAUUACAUUGACUUUUGACAGGCUGGACCAGAUGUCCUACCCUUUUGGAAUUGUCUAGUUAUUUAUUUGUAGUAUGACAUUUCUUUAUUUUAUUCCUGUAUGUACAUCAAACUUGAAGUUAGAUCUAAAGUGUCAGUCAAUUUAAGUGAAACAUUUUAUAUCUUAGGUAAUGUAUACUUCAUGUUGCAUCUUAUUAGAUGUUUUUAAAGCUUUAUAUAUAUAUAUAAGUUGAAUCUUGUUGACUUUCUCAAAAUCCUGAGGAAUCUGCAGUGCAUCAACAUCUCCACAGUAGGUACCAUAAAUGGUUAACAGUUUCUGUAAGGCAACUUUGCACUAGCCUAUUUUGAGCAUAGAACACAACUUUGAAGAUUAAAUCCCAUCCAGGGACUGAUUGGUAGAAGACAACUAGUCAGGGAACAUAGGAGGGAAAUACUUAAUUGCCAUAAAGUGGGUAGAUACCAGUCCACAAAUAAUUCUAAAUUAACUACGAAUAUGCUGUUUCAUGUUUGUAGACUCAUAGAUGUUUUGUGUUAUUAGUGGCUGUUCUGGAUUAUAAACUCCCAUGAGAGGUUAUUUUAAAAUCAGAAUUUUUAAUUUUUAAUAUUUAUCACUACUGCUUAUAUCCUCACUUUAACCUACCUAAUGCUGUUUCACUCAAAUGUCUUUUCUUUCUUCCCUGUAACAGUUGUGCAGAAGAUUCUGACCUUAUUUGAGGCUUACAUAUAGGUUUGGAGAUGUGGAAAGGAGUGGAAAAAGAAAUAUGUAAGCUGAAGUGCCAAACUCACACUGAAAUAAAGGGCAUGGCCUACCAGCUGACAAGGAGUGUCUGGUUUCAAGAUGGCAAAUGACCCUAAACAUGAUAGACAAAUACGUUUUACAUAGGUACAUGCACAGAUAGGCACAUAUAAAUCCACAUUUGCAAGCAAAAAGUGGAACCUGUAAAGCAGAAUUUCUGAGGAAUCUCUAAAAGACUAAUACUAUAUGGAAUUUGAAGAGGAAACCCAGAGCAGAAGCACAUAGUGAAGUACUGCCACAAAGAUGUGUGACGCCACUAAAGGUGCUCUAGACCCACAAGAAAGGAAAACUGGGAGCAGGACAACUAUCUGGAUAUUGACUGCACAUGCCAAUAUCUCAGUCAGACUAACAGAAUCAGAGCUUUAGGCAGAGAAAUGAAUGGUUGGAGAGAGAAGGCAAUGCCCAGGUGCCCUGCUUUGAAAUGUCCCGCCCAUCCCCAAAUUAGUCUGAAAAUUUCAAAUGUUGUAUAAAUUCCCUUCCCAUCAAAAGUGUCCCAUAAACAGCAGUGGUAGAAGAGUUUUAACUGAGUAUCACAGCUUCAAUGAUGAGUAUAGAAAACUCCAAAAAUCUGAAUACCAACACAAUCAAAAAAGAGGUACAAACCACAAGUGGAAGAACCAUCUCAAGAAAUAAUGAAGCAUUCAUGGAAUACAGAUUAGCAACUCUUUAAAACAGUAUUGCCAAGAGAAACAGAUGGCAUUGCAGUUGUCAGAUCUCAUUAAGGUCUUAUAUCUGAAACAGUUCCACUGUCUUCCAUAACUUUCAUAACUUUGAACAUUUUGGCUCAUAGGCGAAAGGGAAUUGCCUUAUUUCGAAUGAGACUUUGGACUGUGGACUUCUGAGUUGAUGCUGAAAUGAGUUAAGACUUUGGGGGACUGCUGGGAAGGCAUGAUUGGUUUUGAAAUGUGAGGACGUGAGAUUUGGGAGGGGUUGGGGUGGAAUGAUAUGGUUUGGCUGUGUCCUCACUCAAAUCUCAUCUUGAAUUCCCACAUGUUGUGGGAGGGAUCGGUGGGAGGUAAUUGACUCACGGGGCCAAGUCUUGCUGUUCUUGUGAUAGUGAAUAAGUCUCACAAGAUCUGAUGGUUUUAAAAAGAGGAGUUCCCCUGCACAAGUUCUCUCUCUUUGCCUACUGCCAUCUACGUUAAGACAUGACUUGCUCCUCCUUGCCUUCCACCAUGAUUGCAAGGUAUCCCCAGCCAUGUAGAACUGUAAGUCCAUUAAAUCCUUUUUCCUGUAUAAAUUACCCAGUUUCAGGUAUGUCUUUAUCAGCAGCAUGAAUAUGGACUAAUACAGAAAUUAAAAUGAUGCCUGACACAUAAUUGCUUAAUAAAUAUUAGCUAUUAUUAUUUGACAUU